AUCCUUCCAAGUUUUGAACAAAUGAUGAAAGCCUAGCGUGUACCAUAUGAACAAUGUACUCUCCUCCCCUCUGACCGGUGCAGCUCUCCAUCCAUUCAGGACGGCUUAAGUGGCUUGCUGGUCGGAGGUUGGAUGGGGGGAUGAUAUCAGCGUUCGGCACAACCCACCUUGUUACUUUGCGGACGCAAUGAAAAGGCAUCUCUGAUCAACAAUUCGUGGAAGGUGUUGAAUUGCUCAUGUAUUGUGUGUUCUUGGCUUCGGCGUCUCCCGAUUAGGGACCUUUGUUCCUCUGUCCAUUUUGCAAGUGCGCGUUGACUUUCGCGUAGUAUUGGAUCCACCGGUGUUUGAAUCUCCCUUCGAGGGUAUUUAUUUUUACAUUUUCACUCGACCACUAAUGAAUGUCCCUGUAGUUUUCUAAGAGUGUUAAGAGACCUUUCUGCAAUAUUCUAUGCCAUUGUAUAUCCAAUAAUAAUACAUUGAUUUCAACGAAAAGAAA
RNAcentral lists this small RNA (496 nucleotides) under Histoplasma capsulatum var. duboisii H88. RNAcentral describes it as "Histoplasma capsulatum H88 hypothetical RNA". The record is from RNAcentral. Lineage: Eukaryota; Fungi; Ascomycota; Eurotiomycetes; Onygenales; Ajellomycetaceae.